GGGUGCGAUCAUACCGGAUAAAAUGCAUCGGAUCCCGUCAGAUAUCCGCAGUCAAGCGUGCUUGGACGAGAGUAGAACUAGGAUGGGUGAUCUUCUUGGAAGUCCUCAUGUUGCACCCC
Molecule: ribosomal RNA, 119 nt
Organism: Corchorus capsularis
Lineage: Eukaryota; Viridiplantae; Streptophyta; Magnoliopsida; Malvales; Malvaceae
Source: Rfam